RNAcentral lists this ribosomal RNA (796 nucleotides) under uncultured Oceanospirillales bacterium. Its description in RNAcentral is "bacterial SSU rRNA". It matches the Rfam family "Bacterial small subunit ribosomal RNA", at positions 56 to 841 of the family's 1533-position model. The record is from RNAcentral. Lineage: Bacteria; Pseudomonadati; Pseudomonadota; Gammaproteobacteria; Oceanospirillales.
UGCAAGUCGACGGAAACGAUGGAAGCUUGCUUCCAGGCGUCGAGUGGCGGACGGGUGAGUAACGCGUAGGAAUCUACCCAGUAGUGGGGGACAACCAGAGGAAACUCUGGCUAAUACCGCAUAAUCCCUACGGGGAAAAGAGGGCCUCUUCUUGAAAGCUCUUGCUAUUGGAUGAGCCUGCGUGAGAUUAGCUAGUUGGUAGGGUAAAGGCCUACCAAGGCGACGAUCUCUAGCUGGUCUGAGAGGACGAUCAGCCACACUGGGACUGAGACACGGCCCAGACUCCUACGGGAGGCAGCAGUGGGGAAUAUUGGACAAUGGGGGCAACCCUGAUCCAGCAAUACCGCGUGUGUGAAGAAGGCCUUAGGGUUGUAAAGCACUUUCGGCAGUGAAGAAAAGCUUAUGGUUAAUAUCCAUGAGUCUUGACGUUAACUGCACAAGAAGCACCGGCUAACUCCGUGCCAGCAGCCGCGGUAAUACGGGGGGUGCAAGCGUUAAUCGGAUUUACUGGGCGUAAAGCGCGCGUAGGUGGUUUGGUAAGUUGGAUGUGAAAGCCCUGGGCUUAACCUGGGAACUGCAUUCAAUACUGCCAGGACUAGAGUGUGGUAGAGGGAAGUGGAAUUCCGGGUGUAGCGGCGAAAUGCGUAGAUAUCCGGAGGAACACCAGUGGCGAAGGCGGCUUCCUGGACCAACACUGACGCUGAGGUGCGAAAGCGUGGGGAGCAAACAUGAUUAGAUACCCUGGUAGUCCACGCCGUAAACGAUGUCAACUAGCCGUUGUGCAAGUCGAGCCCUC